AGGACGAACGCUGGCGGCGUGCCUAACACAUGCAAGUCGAACGAGGUCCAUCCGGUAGCAAUACUGGUGAAGAUCAAGUGGCGAACGGGUGAGUAGCACGUGAGCAACCUGCCCCGAAGACCGGGACAACACCGGGAAACCGGUGCUAAUACCGGAUAUCCCCACCGAGUCGCAUGACUUGGUGAGGAAAUGGAUUCCGCUUUGGGAGGGGCUCGCGGCCUAUCAGCUUGUUGGUGAGGUAACGGCUCACCAAGGCUUCGACGGGUAGCUGGUCUGAGAGGACGAUCAGCCACACUGGGACUGAGACACGGCCCAGACUCCUACGGGAGGCAGCAGUGGGGAAUCUUGCACAAUGGGCGAAAGCCUGAUGCAGCAACGCCGCGUGAGGGACGAAGGCUUUCUGAGUUGUAAACCUCUUUCAGCAGGGACGAUUGUGACGGUACCUGCAGAAGAAGCCCGGCCAACUACGUGCCAGCAGCCGCGGUAA
Molecule: ribosomal RNA, 487 nt
Filed under: uncultured bacterium
Lineage: Bacteria
Description: SSU rRNA
Rfam family: Bacterial small subunit ribosomal RNA
Source: RNAcentral